UUAGCAUGGAAUAAUAAAAUAGGACGUGUGGUUCUAUUUUGUUGGUUUCUAGGACCGCCGUAAUGAUUAAUAGGGACAGUCGGGGGCAUCAGUAUUCAAUUGUCAGAGGUGAAAUUCUUGGAUUUAUUGAAGACUAACUACUGCGAAAGCAUUUGCCAAGGAUGUUUUCAUUAAUCAGGGACGAAAGUUAGGGGAUCGAAGACGAUCAGAUACCGUCGUAGUCUUAACCAUAAACUAUGCCGACUAGGGAUCGGACGGUGUUAUUUUUUGACCCGUUCGGCACCUUACGAGAAAUCAAAGUGCUUGGGCUCCAGGGGGAGUAUGGUCGCAAGGCCGAAACUUAAAGAAAUUGACGGAAGGGCACCACCAGGGGUGGAGCCCGCGGCUUAAUUUGACUCAACACGGGGAAACUCACCAGGUCCAGACACAAUGAGGAUUGACAGAUUGAGAGCUCUUUCUUGAUUUUGUGGGUGGUGGUGCAUGGCCGUUCUUAGUUGGUGGAGUGAUUUGUCUGCUUAAUUGCGAUAACGAACGAGACCUUAACCUGCUAAAUAGCCCGUAUUGCUUUGGCAGUACGCUGGCUUCUUAGAGGGACUAUCGGCUCAAGCCGAUGGAAGUUUGAGGCAAUAACAGGUCUGUGAUGCCCUUAGAUGUUCUGGGCCGCACGCGCGCUACACUGACGGAGCCAGCGAGUACUUCCUUGUCCGAAAGGUCCGGGUAAUCUUGUUAAACUCCGUCGUGCUGGGGAUAGAGCAUUGCAAU
Molecule: ribosomal RNA, 762 nt
Filed under: uncultured Sordariomycetes
Lineage: Eukaryota; Fungi; Ascomycota; Sordariomycetes
Description: SSU rRNA
Rfam family: Eukaryotic small subunit ribosomal RNA
Source: RNAcentral